RNAcentral lists this unclassified non-coding RNA (352 nucleotides) under soil metagenome. Its description in RNAcentral is "partial contains 5.8S ribosomal RNA, internal transcribed spacer 2, and large subunit ribosomal RNA". The stretch from base 1 to 120 matches the Rfam family "5.8S ribosomal RNA", at positions 35 to 154 of the family's 154-position model. The record is from RNAcentral.
GAUGAAGAACGUAGCGAAAUGCGAUAAGUAAUGUGAAUUGCAGAAUUCAGUGAAUCAUCGAAUCUUUGAACGCACAUUGCGCCCGCCAGUAUUCUGGCGGGCAUGCCUGUUCGAGCGUCAUUACAACCCUCAGGCCCCCGGGCCUGGCGUUGGGGAUCGGCGGAGCCCCCCGUGGGCACACGCCGUCCCCCAAAUACAGUGGCGGCCCCGCCGCAGCUUCCAUCGCGUAGUAGCUAACACCUCGCGACUGGAGAGCGGCGCGGCCACGCCGUAAAACACCCAACUCUUCUGAAGUUGACCUCGAAUCAGGUAGGAAUACCCGCUGAACUUAAGCAUAUCAAUAAGCGGAGGA